RNAcentral lists this microRNA (21 nucleotides) under Nicotiana tabacum (common tobacco). RNAcentral's name for it is "nta-miR6148b". Lineage: Eukaryota; Viridiplantae; Streptophyta; Magnoliopsida; Solanales; Solanaceae. The record is from miRBase by way of RNAcentral.
UGUGUUAAUCGUUUGUUCUCA